CUGCGCUUGACGCGUAAUGUGACGAGCAUUGUAAACAAAAGUAUGGUAAAUGUUUCCCUAGCCUAGAAAAGAAGGAAUGCUGUCUCAAGAGUCUUUUCCUUGAGUAAGAGCUCCAGGAUGUUGUGUGAAAUCCUGCUCACAUCGCUAUGGCUCCUGUUUGUUAUCUUCUGGCUGGAGUUGAUAAGCCUGUGGUUGUUCCUGUCCAUGUUCUUCCAAGACCGUGCAUUUUACCACUGGGGGGAUGGGAUGUUUGCAGAUGAUCCUGGACAGAUGAUCUACAUGUUAAGCCGCGCUGAUGCCCAGGCAGAGACGCAAACCUGAGAUGGAGAAAACAAAAGAAAAGAAAACAAGAAGUCCACUAAAGACUCUGAAUGGAGAGCUGUUGAAGUAAUGUGACUGAAGAAUUUGAUAAAAGGCA
Neolamprologus brichardi is the source of this 418-nucleotide non-coding RNA. The record is from RefSeq and is a predicted model, not a curated record. NCBI's taxonomy places the organism in Eukaryota, Metazoa, Chordata, Actinopteri, Cichliformes, Cichlidae.